RNAcentral lists this ribosomal RNA (494 nucleotides) under uncultured bacterium. RNAcentral describes it as "partial 16S ribosomal RNA". It matches the Rfam family "Bacterial small subunit ribosomal RNA", at positions 28 to 507 of the family's 1533-position model. The record is from RNAcentral.
GACGAAUGCUGGCGGCGUGCUUAACACAUGCAAGUCGAACGGAAAGGCCUGCUUUCCCUUGUGGAUUGCGGGUACUCGAGUGGCGAACGGGUGAGUAACACGUGAGUGAUCUGCCCCCAACUUGGGUAUAAGCCUGGGAAACUGGGUCUAAUUCCCGAUAGGACUGCAGGGUGGUGCCUGUGGUGGAAAACGAUUUUCUAGUGGUUGGGGAUGAGCUCGCGGCCUAUCAGCUUGUUGGUGGGGUAAUGGCCUACCAAGGCGGCGACGGGUAGCCGGCCUGAGAGGGUGGACGGCCACAUUGGGACUGAGAUACGGCCCAGACUCCUACGGGAGGCAGCAGUGGGGAAUAUUGCACAAUGGGCGGAAGCCUGAUGCAGCGACGCCGCGUGGGGGAUGACGGCCUUCGGGUUGUAAACUCCUUUCGACCGCGAGGAAGCCACCUGGUUGGAAGGGUGGUGACGGCAGUGGUAGAAGAAGCACCGGCUAACUACGUG